RNAcentral lists this ribosomal RNA (497 nucleotides) under uncultured bacterium. RNAcentral's name for it is "partial 16S ribosomal RNA". It matches the Rfam family "Bacterial small subunit ribosomal RNA", at positions 28 to 507 of the family's 1533-position model. The record is from RNAcentral.
GAUGAACGCUGGCGGCGUGCCUAAUACAUGCAAGUAGAACGCUGAAGGAAGGAGCUUGCUCUUUCCGGAUGAGUUGCGCACGGGUGAGUAACGCGUAGGUCACCUGCCUGGUAGCGGGGGAUAACUAUUGGAAACGAUAGCUAAUACCGCAUAACAGUAGAUGUUGCAUGAUAUCUACUUAAAAGGUGCAAUUGCACCACUACCAGAUGGACCUGCGUUGUAUUAGCUAGUUGGUGAGGUAACGGCUCACCAAGGCGACGUUACAUAGCCGACCUGAGAGGGUGGUCGGCCACACUGGGACUGAGACACGGCCCAGAGUCCUACGGGAGGCAGCAGUAGGGAAACUGGGGCAAUGGGCGGAAGUCUGACCGAGCAACGCCGCGUGAGUGAAGAAGGUUGUCGGAUCGUAAAGCUCUGUUGUAAGAGAAGAACGAGUGUGAGAGUGGAAAGUUGACACUGUGACGGUAUCUGACCAGAAAGGGACGGCUAACUACGUG